This 472-nucleotide ribosomal RNA is filed under the name uncultured organism. RNAcentral describes it as "partial 16S ribosomal RNA". It matches the Rfam family "Bacterial small subunit ribosomal RNA", at positions 335 to 798 of the family's 1533-position model. The record is from RNAcentral.
ACUCCUACGGGAGGCAGCAGUGGGGAAUUUUGGACAAUGGGCGAAAGCCUGAUCCAGCAAUGCCGCGUGAGUGAAGAAGGCCUUCGGGUUGUAAAGCUCUUUUGUCAGGGAAGAAACGGUGAAAGCUAAUAUCUUUUGCUAAUGACGGUACCUGAAGAAUAAGCACCGGCUAACUACGUGCCAGCAGCCGCGGUAAUACGUAGGGUGCAAGCGUUAAUCGGAAUUACUGGGCGUAAAGCGUGCGCAGGCGGUUUUGUAAGUCUGAUGUGAAAUCCCCGGGCUCAACCUGGGAAUUGCAUUGGAGACUGCAAGGCUAGAAUCUGGCAGAGGGGGGUAGAAUUCCACGUGUAGCAGUGAAAUGCGUAGAUAUGUGGAGGAACACCGAUGGCGAAGGCAGCCCCCUGGGUCAAGAUUGACGCUCAUGCACGAAAGCGUGGGGAGCAAACAGGAUUAGAAACCCUGGUAGUCCCAU